Molecule: ribosomal RNA, 468 nt
Filed under: uncultured bacterium
Lineage: Bacteria
Description: partial 16S ribosomal RNA
Rfam family: Bacterial small subunit ribosomal RNA
Source: RNAcentral
GACGAACGCUGGCGGCGUGCUUAACACAUGCAAGUCGAACGGAAAGGCCCUGCUUUUGUGGGGUGCUCGAGUGGCGAACGGGUGAGUAACACGUGAGUAACCUGCCCUUGACUUUGGGAUAACUUCAGGAAACUGGGGCUAAUACCGGAUAGGAGCUCCUGCUGCAUGGUGGGGGUUGGAAAGUUUCGGCGGUUGGGGAUGGACUCGCGGCUUAUCAGCUUGUUGGUGGGGUAGUGGCUUACCAAGGCUUUGACGGGUAGCCGGCCUGAGAGGGUGAACGGGCACAAUGGGACUGAGAGACGGACCAGAAGCCAACGGGAGGCAGCAGUGGGGAAUAUUGCAGAAUGGGCGGAAGCAUGAUGCAGCAACGCCGCGUGCGGGAUGACGGCCUUCGGGUUGUAAACAGAUUUCGCCUGUGACGAAGCGUGAGUGACGGUAAUGGGUAAAGAAGCACCGGCUAACUACGUG